This 223-nucleotide long non-coding RNA is filed under the name Homo sapiens (human). RNAcentral's name for it is "PREDICTED lncRNA (TCONS_00109632)". The record is from RNAcentral. Lineage: Eukaryota; Metazoa; Chordata; Mammalia; Primates; Hominidae.
GUUUAAAGGUGUGUGGCACCUCCCUGCCCCUUCUCCCUCCCAUUCUGGUUAUGGGAGACAUACCGGCUUCCCCUUCACCUUCUGCCAUGAUUGUAAGUUUUCUGAGGAUUCUCCAGAAGCAGAAGCCGCGAUGCUUCCUGCACAGCCUGCAGAACCCACUUCUUGCUGCUGCCAUGUGAAGAAGGACAUGUUUGCUUCCCAUUCCACCAAGAUUGUGAGUUUC